Molecule: ribosomal RNA, 319 nt
Filed under: uncultured bacterium
Lineage: Bacteria
Description: bacterial SSU rRNA
Rfam family: Bacterial small subunit ribosomal RNA
Source: RNAcentral
GACGAACGCUGGCGGCGUGCUUAAUACAUGCAAGUCAACUGAACUUGAGGUAGUAAUACUUUAAGGGAGGUGGCGCACGGGUGAGUAACACGUAGGUAAUCUGCCUUUAGGUCUGACAUAAUUCCGCGAAAGCGGGACUAACUUCAGAUGAUGCAGCGGCUCGACAUCGAGACAGUUGUUAAAUCUUCGGAGCCUAAAGAUGAGCCUGCGUCUGAUUAGGAGUUGGCGGAGUAAAAGCCCACCAAGCCUGCGAUCAGUAGCUGGUCUGAGAGGAUGAUCAGCCACACUGGAACUGAGACACGGUCCAGACUCCUACGGG